RNAcentral lists this transfer RNA (58 nucleotides) under Dipodomys ordii (Ord's kangaroo rat). It matches the Rfam family "tRNA", at positions 8 to 63 of the family's 71-position model. From Rfam's summary of the family: Transfer RNA (tRNA) molecules are approximately 80 nucleotides in length. Their secondary structure includes four short double-helical elements and three loops (D, anti-codon, and T loops). Further hydrogen bonds mediate the characteristic L-shaped molecular structure. tRNAs have two regions of fundamental functional importance: the anti-codon, which is responsible for specific mRNA codon recognition, and the 3' end, to which the tRNAs corresponding amino acid is attached (by aminoacyl-tRNA synthetases). tRNAs cope with the degeneracy of the genetic code in two manners: having more than one tRNA (with a specific anti-codon) for a particular amino acid; and 'wobble' base-pairing, i.e. permitting non-standard base-pairing at the 3rd anti-codon position. The record is from Rfam by way of RNAcentral. Lineage: Eukaryota; Metazoa; Chordata; Mammalia; Rodentia; Heteromyidae.
UGGCUCAGUGGUAGAGUGCUUGCCUUGCAAGCAUGAGGUCCUAAGUUCAAUUCCUCAG